This 492-nucleotide ribosomal RNA is filed under the name uncultured bacterium. RNAcentral's name for it is "partial 16S ribosomal RNA". It matches the Rfam family "Bacterial small subunit ribosomal RNA", at positions 29 to 507 of the family's 1533-position model. The record is from RNAcentral.
AUUGAACGCCGGCGGCAUGCUUUACACAUGCAAGUCGAACGGUAACAGGCCUUCGGGUGCUGACGAGUGGCGAACGGGUGAGUAAUGCAUCGGAACGUACCCAGAGGUGGGGGAUAACGCAGCGAAAGCUGUGCUAAUACCGCAUGUGAUCUGAGGAUGAAAGCGGGGGACCGAGCAGCAAUGUUUGGCCUCGCGCCUUUGGAGCGGCCGAUGUCGGAUUAGCUAGUUGGUGGGGUAAAGGCCUACCAAGGCGACGAUCCGUAGCUGGUCUGAGAGGACGACCAGCCACACUGGGACUGAGACACGGCCCAGACUCCUACGGGAGGCAGCAGUGGGGAAUUUUGGACAAUGGGCGCAAGCCUGAUCCAGCAAUGCCGCGUGCGGGAAGAAGGCCUUCGGGUUGUAAACCGCUUUUGGCAGGAACGAAACGGUGUCCGCUAAUACCGGGCGCUAAUGACGGUACCUGCAGAAUAAGCACCGGCUAACUACGUG